Molecule: non-coding RNA, 97 nt
Filed under: Bacteroides xylanisolvens SD CC 2a
Lineage: Bacteria; Pseudomonadati; Bacteroidota; Bacteroidia; Bacteroidales; Bacteroidaceae
Also listed under: 1 other name
Source: RNAcentral
GAGAGCCGUAUACAUGGAGACGUGUACGUACGGUUCGGAGGCGAGUUCUUGGAAACCUACCGUAGUAAUACGACAAGGCGCCGGGUACUUAGCCUAC